GGGGGAAAUUGAAAGGCAAUUGAAAAGCAUUGAGCUCAAAAGUUGUGAAAGAAACAUACAUGAGAAAAAGAAAAGAAAAGAAGAAAAAGCAUGAAGAUGAGCUCAAUGAAAAAGAAAAGGGAAAAAGUUGGGAAUAAGUGAGAUUGAUGAAGAAGAGAGUUGUGCGUAAAUGUUGAAUACUAUGAUAGCUCUCUUAACUCAAGGACUUUGCAUUCCCAAAAAAACCAAUUCUUUUUGUUAUCCCAGCCUCAUUACAAGCCUUGGAAAAGUCCUU
Molecule: long non-coding RNA, 274 nt
Filed under: Vigna radiata
Lineage: Eukaryota; Viridiplantae; Streptophyta; Magnoliopsida; Fabales; Fabaceae
Description: long non-coding RNA (VRAD_LNC006711)
Source: RNAcentral